UAAGGCCAUAGUACCCUGAACGCACCGGGUCUCAAAAGCUAAGCAGGGUCAGGCCUGGCUGGUACUUGGUGAGUGAAUUCUCAUGUGAUCUGAUGUUUUAUAAG
Aotus nancymaae (Ma's night monkey) is the source of this 104-nucleotide ribosomal RNA. NCBI's taxonomy places the organism in Eukaryota, Metazoa, Chordata, Mammalia, Primates, Aotidae. The record is from Ensembl.